AUUAAUAUAAGCUUUUAUUUUAAGUGAUUCGUUGUUAACGAAUUGAAUAAUUAUUAAUU
RNAcentral lists this transfer RNA (59 nucleotides) under Sinentomon erythranum. Its description in RNAcentral is "tRNA-Asn". Lineage: Eukaryota; Metazoa; Arthropoda; Protura; Sinentomata; Sinentomidae. The record is from RNAcentral.